GACGAACGCGGCGGCGUGCCUAAUACAUGCAAGUAGAACGCUGAAGGAGGAGCUUGCUCUUCUGGAUGAGUUGCGAACGGGUGAGUAACGCGUAGGUAACCUGCCUGGUAGCGGGGGAUAACUAUUGGAAACGAUAGCUAAUACCGCAUAAUAGUAGAUGUUGCAUGACAUUUGCUUAAAGGGUGCAAUUGCAUCACUACCAGAUGGACCUGCGUUGUAUUAGCUAGUUGGUGAGGUAACGGCUCACCAAGGCAACGAUACAUAGCCGACCUGAGAGGGUGAUCGGCCACACUGGGACUGAGACACGGCCCAGACUCCUACGGGAGGCAGCAGUAGGGAAUCUUCGGCAAUGGACGGAAGUCUGACCGAGCAACGCCGCGUGAGUGAAGAAGGUUUUCGGAUCGUAAAGCUCUGUUGUAAGAGAAGAACGAGUGUGAGAGUGGAAAGUUCACAACUGUG
RNAcentral lists this ribosomal RNA (459 nucleotides) under Streptococcus sp. oral taxon 064. RNAcentral describes it as "bacterial SSU rRNA". It matches the Rfam family "Bacterial small subunit ribosomal RNA", at positions 28 to 477 of the family's 1533-position model. Lineage: Bacteria; Bacillati; Bacillota; Bacilli; Lactobacillales; Streptococcaceae. The record is from RNAcentral.